RNAcentral lists this ribosomal RNA (810 nucleotides) under Stenotrophomonas sp. RNAcentral's name for it is "bacterial SSU rRNA". It matches the Rfam family "Bacterial small subunit ribosomal RNA", at positions 91 to 896 of the family's 1533-position model. The record is from RNAcentral. Lineage: Bacteria; Pseudomonadati; Pseudomonadota; Gammaproteobacteria; Lysobacterales; Lysobacteraceae.
GCGAGUGGCGGAUAGGUGAGGAAUACAUCCGAAUCUACCUUUUCGUGGGGGAUAACGUAAGGAAACUUACCCUAAUACCCCAAACGACCUUCGGGUGAAAUCAUGGGACCUUCGGGCCUUGCGCGGAUAGAUGAGCCAAUGUCGGAUUAGCUAGUUGGCGGGGUAAAGGCCCACCAAUGCGACGAUCCUUAGCUGGUCUGAGAGGAUGAUCAGCCACACUGAAACUGACACACGGUCCACACUCCUACGGGAGGCAGCAUUGGGGAAUAUUGGACAAUGGGCGCAAGCCUGAUCCAGCCAUACCGCGUGGGUGAAUAAGGCCUUCGGGUUGUAAAGCCCUUUUGUUGGGAAAGAAAAUCAAUCCAUUAAUACUCGGUUGUUCUGACGGUACCCAAAGAAUAAGCACCGGCUAACUUCCUGCCACCAGCCGCGGUAAUACGAAGGGUGCAAGCGUUACUCCGAAUUACUGGGCGUAAAGCGUGCGUAGGUGGUUGUUUAAGUCUGUUGUGAAAGCCCUGGGCUCAACCUGGGAAUUGCACUGGAUACUGGGCGACUAGAAUGUGGUAGAGGGUAUUGGAAUUCCCGGUGUAACAGUGAAAUGCGUAGAGAUCGGGAGGAACAUCCAUGGCGAAGGCAGCUACCUGGACCAACACUGACACUGAGGCACGAAAGCGUGGGGAGCAAACAGGAUUAGAUACCCUGGUAGUCCACGCGCUAAACGAUGCGAACUGGAUGUUGGGUGCAAUUUGUCACGCAGUAUCGAAGCUAACGCGUUAAGUUCGCCGCCUGGGGAGUACGGUCGCAAGACUG